GAUGAACGCUGGCGGCGUGCCUAAUACAUGCAAGUCGAACGAAACUUCUUUAUCACCGAGUGCUUGCACUCACCGAUAAAGAGUUGAGUGGCGAACGGGUGAGUAACACGUGGGCAACCUGCCCAAAAGAGGGGGAUAACACUUGGAAACAGGUGCUAAUACCGCAUAACCAUAGUUACCGCAUGGUAACUAUGUAAAAGGUGGCUAUACUACCGCUUUUGGAUGGGCCCGCGGCGCAUUAGCUAGUUGGUAGGGUAAAGGCUUACCAAGGCAAUGAUGCGUAGCCGAAUUGAGAGGUUGAUCGGCCACAUUGGGACUGAGACACGGCCCAAACUCCUACGGGAGGCAGCAGUAGGGAAUCUUCCACAAUGGGCGAAAGCCUGAUGGAGCAACGCCGCGUGGGUGAAGAAGGUCUUCGGAUCGUAAAACCCUGUUGUUAGAGAAGAAAGUGCGUGAGAGUAACUGUUCACGUUUCGUCGGUAUCUAACCAGAAAGCCACGGCUAACUACGUG
Molecule: ribosomal RNA, 512 nt
Filed under: uncultured bacterium
Lineage: Bacteria
Description: partial 16S ribosomal RNA
Rfam family: Bacterial small subunit ribosomal RNA
Source: RNAcentral